Molecule: ribosomal RNA, 1561 nt
Filed under: Bacillus anthracis (anthrax bacterium)
Lineage: Bacteria; Bacillati; Bacillota; Bacilli; Caryophanales; Bacillaceae
Description: bacterial LSU rRNA
Rfam family: Bacterial large subunit ribosomal RNA
Source: RNAcentral
AGUCGAUGAAGGACGGGACUAACGCCGAUAUGCUUCGGGGAGCUGUAAGUAAGCUUUGAUCCGAAGAUUUCCGAAUGGGGAAACCCACCAUACGUAAUGGUAUGGUAUCCUUAUCUGAAUACAUAGGGUAAGGAAGACAGACCCAGGGAACUGAAACAUCUAAGUACCUGGAGGAAGAGAAAGCAAAUGCGAUUUCCUGAGUAGCGGCGAGCGAAACGGAACAUAGCCCAAACCAAGAGGCUUGCCUCUUGGGGUUGUAGGACAUUCUAUACGGAGUUACAAAGGAACGAGGUAGACGAAGCGACCUGGAAAGGUCCGUCGUAGAGGGUAACAACCCCGUAGUCGAAACUUCGUUCUCUCUUGAAUGUAUCCUGAGUACGGCGGAACACGUGAAAUUCCGUCGGAAUCUGGGAGGACCAUCUCCCAAGGCUAAAUACUCCCUAGUGAUCGAUAGUGAACCAGUACCGUGAGGGAAAGGUGAAAAGCACCCCGGAAGGGGAGUGAAAGAGAUCCUGAAACCGUGUGCCUACAAAUAGUCAGAGCCCGUUAAUGGGUGAUGGCGUGCCUUUUGUAGAAUGAACCGGCGAGUUACGAUCCCGUGCGAGGUUAAGCUGAAGAGGCGGAGCCGCAGCGAAAGCGAGUCUGAAUAGGGCGUUUAGUACGUGGUCGUAGACCCGAAACCAGGUGAUCUACCCAUGUCCAGGGUGAAGUUCAGGUAACACUGAAUGGAGGCCCGAACCCACGCACGUUGAAAAGUGCGGGGAUGAGGUGUGGGUAGCGGAGAAAUUCCAAUCGAACCUGGAGAUAGCUGGUUCUCCCCGAAAUAGCUUUAGGGCUAGCCUUAAGUGUAAGAGUCUUGGAGGUAGAGCACUGAUUGGACUAGGGGUCCUCAUCGGAUUACCGAAUUCAGUCAAACUCCGAAUGCCAAUGACUUAUCCUUAGGAGUCAGACUGCGAGUGAUAAGAUCCGUAGUCAAAAGGGAAACAGCCCAGACCGCCAGCUAAGGUCCCAAAGUGUGUAUUAAGUGGAAAAGGAUGUGGAGUUGCUUAGACAACUAGGAUGUUGGCUUAGAAGCAGCCACCAUUUAAAGAGUGCGUAAUAGCUCACUAGUCGAGUGACUCUGCGCCGAAAAUGUACCGGGGCUAAAUACACCACCGAAGCUGCGGAUUGAUACCAAUGGUAUCAGUGGUAGGGGAGCGUUCUAAGGACAGUGAAGUCAGACCGGAAGGACUGGUGGAGUGCUUAGAAGUGAGAAUGCCGGUAUGAGUAGCGAAAGACGGGUGAGAAUCCCGUCCACCGAAUGCCUAAGGUUUCCUGAGGAAGGCUCGUCCGCUCAGGGUUAGUCAGGACCUAAGCCGAGGCCGACAGGCGUAGGCGAUGGACAACAGGUUGAUAUUCCUGUACCACCUCUUUAUCGUUUGAGCAAUGGAGGGACGCAGAAGGAUAGAAGAAGCGUGCGAUUGGUUGUGCACGUCCAAGCAGUUAGGCUGAUAAGUAGGCAAAUCCGCUUAUCGUGAAGGCUGAGCUGUGAUGGGGAAGCUCCUUAUGGAGCGAAGUCUUU